RNAcentral lists this ribosomal RNA (269 nucleotides) under uncultured Lachnospiraceae bacterium. RNAcentral's name for it is "partial 16S ribosomal RNA". It matches the Rfam family "Bacterial small subunit ribosomal RNA", at positions 73 to 339 of the family's 1533-position model. The record is from RNAcentral. Lineage: Bacteria; Bacillati; Bacillota; Clostridia; Lachnospirales; Lachnospiraceae.
UCGGUGCUUGCACUGAUCCGAUCGAGUGGCGGACGGGUGAGUAACGCGUGGGUAACCUGCCUCAUACAGGGGAAUAACAGUUGGAAACGGCUGCUAAAACCGCAUAAGCGCACGGUAUCGCAUGAUACAGUGUGAAAAACUCCGGUGGUAUGAGAUGGACCCGCGUCUGAUUAGCUAGUUGGUGAGGUAACGGCCCACCAAGGCGACGAUCAGUAGCCGGCCUGAGAGGGUGAACGGCCACAUUGGGACUGAGACACGGCCCAAACUCC